This 254-nucleotide ribosomal RNA is filed under the name uncultured bacterium. RNAcentral describes it as "partial 16S ribosomal RNA". It matches the Rfam family "Bacterial small subunit ribosomal RNA", at positions 524 to 776 of the family's 1533-position model. The record is from RNAcentral.
UGCGUAGGGUGCGAGCGUUAAUCGGAAUUACUGGGCGUAAAGCGUGCGCAGGCGGUCUGUUAAGACCGAUGUGAAAUCCCCGGGCUUAACCUGGGAACUGCAUUGGUGACUGGCAGGCUUUGAGUGUGGCAGAGGGAGGUAGAAUUCCACGUGUAGCAGUGAAAUGCGUAGAGAUGUGGAGGAAUACCGAUGGCGAAGGCAGCCUCCUGGGCCAACACUGACGCUCAUGCACGAAAGCGUGGGGAGCAAACAGG